This 394-nucleotide ribosomal RNA is filed under the name uncultured bacterium. RNAcentral describes it as "bacterial SSU rRNA". It matches the Rfam family "Bacterial small subunit ribosomal RNA", at positions 29 to 428 of the family's 1533-position model. The record is from RNAcentral.
AUUGAACGCUGGCGGCAUGCCUUACACAUGCAAGUCGAACGGCAGCACGGGGGCAACCCUGGUGGCGAGUGGCGAACGGGUGAGUAAUACAUCGGAACGUGCCCAGUAGUGGGGGAUAGCCCGGCGAAAGCCGGAUUAAUACCGCAUGCGACCUACGGGUGAAAGCGGGGGAUCGCAAGACCUCGCGCUGUUGGAGCGGCCGAUGUCAGAUUAGGUUGUUGGUGGGGUAAAGGCCACCAAGCCGACGAUCUGUAGCUGGUCUGAGAGGACGACCAGCCACACUGGGACUGAGACACGGCCCAGACUCCUACGGGAGGCAGCAGUGGGGAAUUUUGGACAAUGGGGGCAACCCUGAUCCAGCCAUGCCGCGUGCGGGAAGAAGGCCUUGGUGUAA